Molecule: ribosomal RNA, 607 nt
Filed under: uncultured bacterium
Lineage: Bacteria
Description: bacterial SSU rRNA
Rfam family: Bacterial small subunit ribosomal RNA
Source: RNAcentral
GAGUUUGAUCCUGGCUCAGGAUGAACGCUGGCGGCGUGCUUAACACAUGCAAGUCGAGCGAAGCACUUGGUUUGAAGUUUUCGGAUGGAAAAUCAUUUGACUGAGCGGCGGACGGGUGAGUAACGCGUGGGGAACCUGCCUCAUACAGGGGAAUAACAGCUAGAAAUGGCUGCUAAUGCCGCAUAAGCGCACAGUGCCGCAUGGCACGGUGUGAAAAACUCCGGUGGUAUGAGAUGGCCCCGCGUCUGAUUAGGCAGUUGGCGGGGUAACGGCCCACCAAACCGACGAUCAGUAGCCGACCUGAGAGGGUGACCGGCCACAUUGGGACUGAGACACGGCCCAAACUCCUACGGGAGGCAGCAGUGGGGGAUAUUGCACAAUGGGGGAAACCCUGAUGCAGCGACGCCGCGUGGGUGACGAAGUAUUUCGGUAUGUAAAGCCCUAUCAGCANGGAAGAAGAUGACAGUACCUGACUAAGAAGCCCCGGCUAACUACGUGCCAGCAGCCGCGGUAAUACGUAGGGGGCAAGCGUUAUCCGGGUUUACUGGGUGUAAAGGGAGCGCAGGUGGCAUGGCAAGCCAGAAGUGAAAACCCGGGGCUUAACCCC